Molecule: long non-coding RNA, 718 nt
Organism: Bombina bombina (fire-bellied toad)
Lineage: Eukaryota; Metazoa; Chordata; Amphibia; Anura; Bombinatoridae
Exons: 5
Source: RefSeq, a predicted model, not a curated record
GGUUUAACUGGUUUAACCAAUAGGAGAUGAUGAAUUGUGAUGUGUACACUCCUCUAACAUAGCACUGGAGCAGAGAAGAGCAUGGAAACGCCUUUGUGGAUUACGAAUUUAGUGUUAUGUGGGUGUCAUAUGGCAGCGAUUGAAGAGAGCAUUAUGUGUCUUUCUGACAGCUGGAACAAAAAUGCUGUAACUAAUUCAUGACUGGGGAUCCGUGGCAUAGCACACAGAUACAGAAAAUUCUAAUUCAAGAAUUGAUAAAAAGUCUGGGCGGGAACCGGGAAGAGAGCUAACACAGUCGAGUCACGUCACAUGUCAGAAAGUGUGAGGAGAGAUACUGCCGGUGCGAAAGGAUUUUCAAUACAUUCCUAAUUGACUGAGGAGGCAGGUGAAGUCUCAGUUCCAUGCAGACUCAUUUACUAUGGGAAUAAAUGGAUCUUUUCAACUAGAACCUGAAAAAAACGGUGAUGUCUCUGCAAGAGUCCGACUCAGACGCCAGCAAGGUGGAGGUGGAGUACUGGUUUGGGCUGGUAUCAUCAAAGAUGAGCUUGUGGGGCCUUUUCGGGUUGAGGAUGGAGUCAAGCUCAACUCCCAGUCCUACUGCCAGUUUCUGGAAGACACCUUCUUCAAGCAGUGGUACAGGAAGAAGUCUGCAUCCUUCAAGAAAAACAUGAUUUUCAUGCAGGACAAUGCUCCAUCACAUGCGUCCAAGUACUCCACA